Molecule: long non-coding RNA, 516 nt
Organism: Xiphophorus hellerii (green swordtail)
Lineage: Eukaryota; Metazoa; Chordata; Actinopteri; Cyprinodontiformes; Poeciliidae
Exons: 2
Source: RefSeq, a predicted model, not a curated record
ACUGCAGUGAAGUUAGUUUCGUGUUGGAUAUUCCAAUAUCCGCCGAGCAAACGGCGUUUUGCUCAAGGUUGAUCCGAUUUAUGAAUGCUAAUUUCGGCCAGCCGUUCUCAAGCUCCCUCCUCAAGUUCUCAGAGGUUCACUUAGACCAGGGACUGGCAACAAAUUUCCAAACCAAACACUCCGGUCAGACAAAUGGUAAUAAAUGCCUUGUGACCAACUGAUACAAAAAGGUGGUAAUUCAAGCUUUUACAUGAGACACACGACCCUCUAUUAAAAUGUCAAGUCAUAUUCAAUAGUUUAAAUCAUUUUAAUAUUGAAUAAUAUCAUUCACACAGAUUUUGACUCAAUAAGUCAGCUCUAGAAGCUGUUGAAGAGAAAUAGUAAAUUUAAACAAAAAAAUAUUUAACAAAAAUAAAAAAAUGAGUUAAAAUGCAAUAAAAAUGCGUGUGCCUCAUAUAUACAGUUUAGUACAACAAUUACGCACUGACUUCUAGUCAAUGUGGCACACGUCAUGGA